GAUGAACGCUGGCGGCGUGCCUAAUACAUGCAAGUCGAGCGAACGGACGAGAAGCUUGCUCCUCUGAUGUUAGCGGCGGACGGGUGAGUAACACGUGGAUAACCUACCUAUAAGACUGGGAUAACUUCGGGAAACCGGAGCUAAUACCGGAUAAUAUUUUGAACCGCAUGGUUCAAAAGUGAAAGACGGUCUUGCUGUCACUUAUAGAUGGAUCCGCGCCGCCUUAGCUAGUUGGUAAGGUAACGGCUUACCAAGGCAACCAUGCAUAGCCGACCUGAGAGGGUGAUCCGCCCACUCUGAACUGAGGCACGGCCCAAACCCCCAAGGGAGGGAGCCGGAGGGAAUCUUUCGGAAUUGGCGGAAGGCUGACGGAGGCAAGCCGGGGGAGUGAAGGAAGUUCUCCGAUCGGAAAACUCCUUUUUUAGGGGAAAACCAUUUGUGUAGUAACUGUUGACGAUCUGACGGUAACUAAACAGAAAGGCCCCGCUAACCACGUG
This 497-nucleotide ribosomal RNA is filed under the name uncultured bacterium. RNAcentral's name for it is "partial 16S ribosomal RNA". It matches the Rfam family "Bacterial small subunit ribosomal RNA", at positions 28 to 507 of the family's 1533-position model. The record is from RNAcentral.